GGGACGGUGGAAGAGCCUGGCCUACCACCUCUCUCGGCGGGUUUUCACCGGGUCUCCGGUUCGACGCCGAGAGUUGCUUCGUCACGCUUCGGUGAACACGCAGGUUCGAAUCCUGCCCGUCCCA
This 124-nucleotide transfer RNA is filed under the name Halosimplex pelagicum. RNAcentral's name for it is "tRNA-OTHER". Lineage: Archaea; Methanobacteriati; Methanobacteriota; Halobacteria; Halobacteriales; Haloarculaceae. The record is from RNAcentral.